Molecule: ribosomal RNA, 351 nt
Filed under: uncultured bacterium
Lineage: Bacteria
Description: bacterial SSU rRNA
Rfam family: Bacterial small subunit ribosomal RNA
Source: RNAcentral
AGAGUUUGAUCAUGGCUCAGGAUGAACGCUAGCUACAGGCUUAACACAUGCAAGUCGAGGGGAAACGAUAUUGGAAGCUUGCUUCCGAUAGGCAUCGACCGGCGCACGGGUGAGUAACGCGUAUCCAACCUGCCCACCACUUGGGGAUAACCUUGCGAAAGUAAGACUAAUACCCAAUGAUAUCUCUAGAAGACAUCUGAAAGAGAUUAAAGAUUUAUCGGUGAUGGAUGGGGAUGCGUCUGAUUAGGCUUGUUGGCGGGGUAACGGCCACAAGGCGACGAUCAGUAGGGGUUCUGAGAGGAAGGUCCCCANAUUGGAACUGAGACACGGUCCAAACUCCUACGGGAGGCA